GCCGACGUAGCUCAGUUGGUAGAGCAGUAGUUUUGUAAACUAUUGGUCGGGGGUUCGAGUCCCUUCGUCGGCUCCA
RNAcentral lists this transfer RNA (76 nucleotides) under Patescibacteria group bacterium. RNAcentral's name for it is "tRNA-Thr". It matches the Rfam family "tRNA". Rfam says of the family: Transfer RNA (tRNA) molecules are approximately 80 nucleotides in length. Their secondary structure includes four short double-helical elements and three loops (D, anti-codon, and T loops). The record is from RNAcentral.